UUUUUUCUUUUUGUUUUUUUUUUUUUUUGUUUUUGUUUUUUUUUUUGGCUAUCCCCACAGCAUACGGAAGUCCCUGGGGUCAUGGAUCAAACCCAUGCCAUAGCCGUGACAACGUGAAAUCCUUAACCGCUAGGCCACCAGGGAACUCCUGUACUAAGGGUUUUGCUAGGUACUGUCACAAAUACACCGCUGUAAAUUUAUUGACAUUGAGAUGUUUUUGCUUUUCGCUCCUUACUAACUGGGCCUCAAUUAAUUUUUAAAAAUAGUUCCCAAAUAUUCUGAGCCAUGGGAAAAGCAUUAGAAUAAAUAUAGAUCUUCCCAAUGGACUGUUAUAAUUCCAUCAUUUGUGUCUCUUACCUUGCUCUCAAGGAGAGCAGAAGAAUGGUGGAAUACAAGGCAGGGUCCUCUGUGAGCUCAUGUAGCCCUCAGACCAACCACUCUGUGAACCUGAACUGAAAACCAGAAAGAGAUACUGUGGCCAAAAAAAAGAAAAGAAAGAAACAAACCAACCAACCAGGCUGUGGUAAGAGUACACAAGAGGAAAGUGGGCUGCUUUACAUCAGAUCUGAGUAAUUCUCUGCACCAGCAUUCAGAUCACUUAUAUCAACACGGCAGUCUGGUUUUCUCCUCGUCACUGAGUCCCUCCCCCAGCCUGGAGGUAUCUGGUUACUGCGGCACAGGAGUUUCACCAAAAAUAAAGAGAACUGAAUUAGGUCUGUCAAAGCGAAUGACCAGCAUACACUUGAGGAGGCUGGGUCUUAGCGUCUGUAAUCACUACUUUUUUCUUGCUCAGGUAACUUGAAAAAUUACUAAUGGACACUGAUAAGCCCAGUCAUUAGUAUACUUUAAUCGGGCUUUCUUCAAUUACAAAGGGAAAAAUUCUUUCCCUGUAGAAGAUUUACGCACUCCAAUUCCGCAAUCGCCCAUCACAGACACUCUUCGGAAUCCUCAGGGAAACAAGACUACCCAGUGUCUCUGUUCGAGUUGAGCCUCGGAAAAUGGCCCCGGUGCCCCACAAGCCCUGUCUGGAGUGUUACAGCCGUAGAGCCUUCCCUUCCCGCAGAUGCAGAAUGGGCUUUGGGAUAAACACCCUGGGCUGCAGGCCCUCUGGGAGAUCCCUGGUCAUGAGGGCCAAGGUCACCUGAGCACCGUGAGGGACAGGGCAGGAGUGGCCGAGGGGCAGAGAGGUGGGGCGGUGACAGUUAAGUAACUGGAACUGGUAUUAGUUACAAAGGCUGCUUACAGAGCCUUCCUUUGCUUCUCUCCUUCCUUUCUGCUUCCUGUUUUUGUUUUUGUUUUUUCCCCUUUUCACCUUGUUCUAGGAAGAAUAACCUACAUGGGGACCAAAAAACAUUACGAGGUUAAGUUAAAUGAAAGUGAGAAAUUUGGAGUUCCUGUUGUGGCUCAGCAGAAACGAAUCUGACUAGCAUCCAUGAGGAUGCAGGUUCAAUCCCUGGCCUUGCUCAGUGGGUUAAGGAUCUGGCGUUGCUGUGAGCUCUCAUGGCAACGCUGGAUUGCUAACCCAGUUAGCGAGGCUAGGGAUCAAACCUGAUACUAGUCGAUUUUGUUACCACUAAACCACAACAAGAACGCCAACAUAUGUCUUUUCUGUGUUUCAAAUGAUCAAAGCGCCAAGUUGGCUAGCUACAUGCAGCCUCUGACCCUCAAAAAAACGAGUCCUCUCUGAAUUUUAGGCACAGCGCUGGUGGAACUGUUCUGGGAAGAAAGAGACUUCUCUAUGGGGGCCUCAUGCCCUCCUUCUGGGGACCCUUCCCCAGACAAUUCGCUGUCUCCCUCUCCCUCUCGAGUCCUCAAUCCAAAGCCCACCACGCCUUCCCAACUCCCAUGUGAUUUCCCUUCUGCCUCAAUAAAAAUUCCUCUUUCCACCUGCUCCUCAAGUACUCCCAUUUCCAAGCCUCUAACUCAUUUCCCGUCACUCAGUGACCAAAGUCACUCCAGAAAAACUUAGAAGAAUCAAUACCCCUAAACCCACACAUGCAUCUCCCACCACAUAAUCUCCCUCCAGCCGUCUGGUGUACAUGUUAGGCACCCAUGCGGGCACACCCUUCCCCACAUGCUUCCCCCUGCUGAGAGCAUGACCUCGAGGGCUCCCCCCUAUGCAGCCGGCGAGGGGGCUGGGGGGUCUACUCCCUGGGAAGGAACGUGCUCUCCGUCCUGGCGAUCCCGGGGCGUGGGCUGUUUCCCCAGGGUCAUCCUCACAGCCACACAUCUUCUGGGUACAGGUAGGCCUGGCCCUACAGUUCUCUCGGCAGGAAAGACCAAGUGUGUCCCAUUUUGUCUCUGGUCCUAAAAUACCUUCCUGGGGAAGAAGACCAGACUCCAGCAGCACUUUGAAGUGAAUGCCCGAGGACCACUCGGCGAGGAAGAAGAAGGCUGCUCCAUCUUCCAGGCCUUCCUUCGAGGCCACCAGACCCGUGGCAACCUCGGAAUAGUGCUUAGGGGAAGUGAGCCUCCUCCCGAGGCUCAUCGGAGGGCAGGCCACACGGACCUCUCAGAGGGUCACGGGGCACGUGCCCAGGAAACUAUGGACUUUCUGCAAUUUUCCAGAACAACUGUGGAAAGCAAACAGUCAUGUGCCUGCUCUGGAACUGACGUCCAGGAAAAGGAAGGAACUAACAUGGACGAGUAUCUCCCACACGUGGGCGCUGACACACUCCCAGGUGUUCUUCUUCUUCUUAUUAUUAUUUUUUUGUCUUUUUAGGGCCUCACCCGAGGCAUAUGGAGGUUCCCAGGCUAGGGUCCAAUCUGAGCUACAGCUGCUGGCCUACAGCACAGCCACAGCCACACCAGAUCCGAGCCACGUCUGCAACCUACAGUUCAUGGCAAGGCCGGAUCCUUAACCCACUGAGCAGGACCAGGGAUUGAACCUGCAACUUCAUCGUUCCAAGUUGGAUUCCUUUCCACUGCGCCACGACGGGAACUCCCUCUCCCCCCGCCCCAUUCCUAUCCCUGAGUUUCAAGGUGGUUACAAAUUGCCUGCAGAUGCCCCACCAGGGUGUGGCAGAGGCAGGUGGCACUCCAGAGUCUCUGCUCCUCCCACUGCUCUUCCUUAAAUAUCACAGAAACCCCAAGCAUCC
Molecule: long non-coding RNA, 3098 nt
Filed under: Sus scrofa (pig)
Lineage: Eukaryota; Metazoa; Chordata; Mammalia; Artiodactyla; Suidae
Description: lncRNA (ENSSSCG00065023361.1)
Source: RNAcentral